Globicephala melas (long-finned pilot whale) is the source of this 427-nucleotide non-coding RNA. The record is from RefSeq and is a predicted model, not a curated record. NCBI's taxonomy places the organism in Eukaryota, Metazoa, Chordata, Mammalia, Artiodactyla, Delphinidae.
CCCAAAUUCGGGAGUUAGAAACAGGCUGUGACCAUUCUCAGAACCCCUGGGAAUGACUGACUCCAAAGACCUUUCACAGUUCUCACGUUAACAACACCUCUUCUUGUUGAAGAGAAGUGGCUGAAACACUUCUUGGAAGGAGGCUGUGGGUUUGUCACUCUAGGCUCAGAAACAUGGGAGAGGAGAUUGAAGAUGGGUCUGAAGUGGACAAGCCAGUCCAUAAAGGCAAGUCUGUGCCGGUACCAAAUUGGAUGAAUAAAGAAACUUUGACAAUGCAACAGUCUGGAUUUGAUACCAGGUAUACAAAUGAAGACGCAUCAGAGAAAGAAUUAGCAGGGAUUGAAAUCUAUACAAACCAAGUUUUCACUGUCUGCAUGACCUUGAAUGAAUCACACACCUUGCUCUAGUUCAUUCAAUAAAGCAUUCU